This 419-nucleotide ribosomal RNA is filed under the name uncultured archaeon. RNAcentral's name for it is "bacterial SSU rRNA". It matches the Rfam family "Archaeal small subunit ribosomal RNA", at positions 460 to 878 of the family's 1478-position model. The record is from RNAcentral.
CUCCGCCGCGGUGGAACGCGGGACCUAAAGUGGUCAGGAUGAUUAUUGGGCCUAAAGCAUCCGUAGCCCGUUUUGUAAGUUUUCGGUUAAAUCCAUGCGCUUAACGUAUGGGCUGCCGGGAAUACUGCAUAACUAGGAAGUGGGAGAGGUAGACGGUACUCGGUAGGAAGGGGUAAAAUCCUUUGAUCUAUUGAUGACCACCUGUGGCGGAGGCGGUCUACCAGAACACGUUCGACGGUGAGGGAUGAAAGCUGGGGGAGCAAACCGGAUUAGAUACCCGGGUAGUCCCAGCUGUAAACUAUGCAAACUCAGUGAUGCAUUGGCUUAUGGCCAAUGCAGUGCUGCAGGGAAGCCGUUAAGUUUGCCGCCUGGGAAGUACGUACGCAAGUAUGAAACUUAAAGGAAUUGGCGGGGGAGCA